UGUGUAACGUAACUAUUGAAUAUCUCUUUAUAUAUAAGCUGGCUGAGUUGGCUCGAGAACUAGGGAUACUGGUGGCUUCUGACGAAGUUUUUAGAUGGACUGUGUUUGGGAGUAAUCCCUUUGUUCCCAUGGCGAAAUUCUCGUCGAUCGUACCUGUGAUCAGUCUCGGUUCUAUAUCGAAGGGAUGGAAUGUACCGGGAUGGCAAACCGGCUGGCUCGCGCUGCACGAUCUAGAUGGUGUCUUCCAAUCUAACAAGAUCGCAAUUGCUGUUAAGACUUUUCUGUCGAUAGAUGAUAAACCACCAACUGUUAUCCAGUUUUAUCAUGUAGGCAGCUAUUCCGACCAUCUUGGGGGAAACUCAUAAAGAGUUCUUCGAGAUGAGGCAGAUUUUUCUGAAAGCGAAUGCGGAGUUUGCCUUUGCUAAGCUCAAAGACAUACCAGCCCUAACCUGCUACUUGAAAACUGAAGCCUGUACCUUCUUAUGGACCGAGCUGAACUUGUCACUGNGUGU
This is a non-coding RNA of Camelina sativa (false flax), 512 nucleotides long. The record is from RefSeq and is a predicted model, not a curated record. Lineage: Eukaryota; Viridiplantae; Streptophyta; Magnoliopsida; Brassicales; Brassicaceae.